Non-coding RNA from Cinara cedri, 932 nucleotides. The record is from the annotation of a GenBank genome assembly. NCBI's taxonomy places the organism in Eukaryota, Metazoa, Arthropoda, Insecta, Hemiptera, Aphididae.
UGAAUUAGGUUAAGUCAGUUCCCGACAACGCGCCUUUUGGUGAAUAUAGUUCACGUCCUCUCGAACGUUUUAUGAAAACAGAUAACGUUAUGUAUGCGAAACAAAAUACAAAGGAGAAAGAGAAAAAUAUGUGUCCGUUCAAAGUAAUCAGUUGCGAUGACGUCAAAAGCACGCGUUCAACGAACGCGGGCCUAACAUUAAAUUAGGUUUAUUAGUUAUCCGUCUGCAGUUAAAGGUCAACUAUAAAUUAUAAUCACUUCGUUUUACCAUAAUCUACUCGUCUUUGACUUGGGAGUCGAUUACACAGCUUUUUAUUGUCAGUUACCGGUAAGUUAUGCAGCAAUGGACAAUGCCGAAUUGCUAUUAUCGAAUUAUUCGAAUCAGCCGAAAAACAAUUCGGUAGUGAAAAAAUCAGAGGGCAAUACACCAAUCAAUAAUUUAUGUACCAGAUUCCGGAAUACCGCGAUUUUCCAAAGAUCAGGUCAUAUCGCACGUAAUACGGGUAGUUUAAAAAACUAACAAUAAUCAAACCGAUCGAACAUCGCAGUACGGUUUUGUGCGUCGUCAAUCGAGUAUUAUUCGUUAUCAUGUAAUAUUUUUUAAAUGAAUUGAAAAGAUUUAUCAACACAAGUGCCCGACAUAAAUGUCCCGAACGGGGCAGCAAAAAACUUAGACGGACAAAUAGAAAUUGUUUGGACAAUUUGCAUGGCGGAAUUUAUGUGGCGAUCAAAACUAAAUAAUGGUGAGAUAAUCGUUUGAUUUUAAAAGAUACAGCAGAAUUUCGGGGCAGCCUAAAUAAUUGUAUACAUUUUUUAACAUUUUAUAUUUAUGCGACGUAUUUAUUAUCGUAUCUUCCCACGUCGCCGACUCCCAUUUCGCUGACAAUUAAACCGGUUUUUUAAGGUAUUAAAAAUCUUCCCAUUUCAACAACA